GUUGAUCAAGGUCAUGCUUGGAAAUCUUUUCCAUGUUGCAGGUAUGGCCAGAGAAAGCCUGUGUUUGCUUACCGAUUGCUGGCUCAUGGAACUAUGGAAGAGAAAAUAUAUAAGCGCCAGGUAACAAAGGAGGGGCUUGCUGCUAGAGUGGUUGACAGACAGCAAGUGUACAGGACUAUAUCUAAAGAAGAGAUGUUACAUCUCUUUGAGUUUGGUGAUGAUGAAAACCCUGAGACGUUGGCUGAACUGAGCCAAGAGAAUGGGCAUUCAUUGGAACAAACGAUCCCACAUUCAAAUGGAACCAGCCAUUCCGAUAAGCUAAUGGAAAAGCUUACUUAGCAAGCAUCAUCCCAAGUGGAUUGCCAAUUAUCAUGAACACGAAACCUUGUUGCAAGAAAAUGAAGAAGAAAAGCUAUCAAAAGAGGAGCAAGACAUGGCUUGGGAAGUAUAUACCGGAAAACGUUAGAAUGGGAGGAAGUGCAGAGAGUACCACUGGGUGAAUCUCUGCCUGUUCAAAAGCCCCAAGAGCCGAAUAAUGCACCCCCUGCAUCAAAAUCCCGCAGCCUUUCACCAACAAGGGUGAGGAGCCGUUUUGUGACCCGCAAAUGCACCAACCUUUCACACUUGCUGACGCUUAGAAGUCAAGGCACUAAAUUUGGUUGCAGUACGGUCUGUGGGGAAUGCGCCCAAGAGAUCAGAUGGGAGGACUUGAAGUACAGAGAUGGAAGAGCAAUAAGGUGAAGGAUGAUAUAAUUUUAUCCGUUGAUAUUUUAACUAACCAAUGCAUCUGUUUGUUGUAAAUGUUUAAUGUCCCGAGGUCAAUAUAUAUUCUUUUGUAAUAUUUAUAGCUGUAAAUGGAUUGGGCUUCAUGUUCAAAAUCUUUUUGAAGAAAUUGUAUGGUUACGCUCAUGUUCUGUGGGACUAUCUUCUAAUUGCUGGCGUGGCUUGAAGGUUAACUCGUCUACAGCGAGUCAUGCCUAAUGUAAAUGAAACCUUAUACAGUUUGAUUACAGUUGCUGAUCUAUUUUUCAUUUUGGGUUCAUCAUGGAAAUUUAUGAUACCUUA
Molecule: long non-coding RNA, 1065 nt
Organism: Neltuma alba
Lineage: Eukaryota; Viridiplantae; Streptophyta; Magnoliopsida; Fabales; Fabaceae
Exons: 3
Source: RefSeq, a predicted model, not a curated record